This 433-nucleotide ribosomal RNA is filed under the name uncultured bacterium. RNAcentral's name for it is "partial 16S ribosomal RNA". It matches the Rfam family "Bacterial small subunit ribosomal RNA", at positions 29 to 507 of the family's 1533-position model. The record is from RNAcentral.
AACGAACGCUGGCGGCAUGCCUAACACAUGCAAGUCGAACGAGACCUUCGGGUCUAGUGGCGCACGGGUGCGUAACGCGUGGGAAUCUGCCCUUGGGUUCGGGAUAACAGUUGGAAACGACUGCUAAUACCGGAUGAUGACUUCGGUCCAAAGAUUUAUCGCCCAGGGAUGAGCCCGCGUCGGAUUAGCUAGUUGGUGAGGUAAGAGCUCACCAAGGCGACGAUCCGUAGCUGGUCUGAGAGGAUGAUCAGCCACACUGGGACUGAGACACGGCCCAGACUCCUACGGGAGGCAGCAGUGGGGAAUAUUGGACAAUGGGCGAAAGCCUGAUCCAGCAAUACCGCGUGAGUGAUGAAGGCCUUAGGGUUGUAAAGCUCUUUUACCCGGGAUGAUAAUGACAGUACCGGGAGAAUAAGCCCCGGCUAACUCCGUG